RNAcentral lists this non-coding RNA (88 nucleotides) under Candidatus Muproteobacteria. RNAcentral describes it as "c-di-GMP sequence". It matches the Rfam family "c-di-GMP-I riboswitch aptamer". From Rfam's summary of the family: GEMM was predicted in a large-scale screen for bacterial structured RNA regulatory elements. Lineage: Bacteria; Pseudomonadati; Pseudomonadota. The record is from RNAcentral.
UUCUGAAAAAGGCAAAACCGUCGAAAGGCGGUGACGCAAAGCUUCCGGUCUACGGGGAUUUGUUCCCUAGGAUAGCGGGGUUACCAGG